AGUAUUCUUUAACAUAAUAUAGUAUCAUAAAAUAAUAAAUUAGCCUUCUGAGAACAUGGAGUCAGAUUCAUCAUUCCUUCCUUCUUUGGGACAUUCCCAGCAAUGAGAAAUACAAAUAAUAAAAUAGAAUUGAGGAAUACAAAAAAUACAAUAUAGCUCACUGCCAAAACUCCCAUGCUGGCUCUGUGGGGCGUGUCAGGGACACUUUAACACCAAGGGAGUCAAAUUUGUAUCCUGGCAGCGUGCACCAAGCUGAGGGGAUGCUUCUCUGUGCAGGAUGGAGGUGACUGCAUCAAACUCCUGGCUCAGCACCUGUUCCUGAUGGGAUGAUCAGCACACACAGGUUUCUGUGAGGUCAAAGGACAGCAUCUAUAGAUUGCUGCCAUGACAGGGAACGUUUUGCAAGCUAAUGGCUCAGCCAACGCUGCUGAGAGGUGACAAGGCACGAGGCACAGAGUGCUCAUUAAUCCAGCACUGUCCUUGUGGGAAUUCAGUGCCAAGGAGCUCAAAGACCGGGUUCAUCUUGAAGGAGAGAUGUUUUUCUCUUGCUGUAGCACUUUGUUCUGAGGUUUUGUAAUGCGUGAGGAAUAACAAGGAUGAAAAUCAAACUGGACUUGUCAAAGAAUUUUCAGGUGCUAUUUCACUUUUUGCUGAGGGACAGGAGCAUAUUUCUGUCUGUUCAUGCCAGAUUAAAGCUCCCUGGGUCAGUUGUAGAAGAGUGCCAGGAAAUUAGCCAGCUGAAUGGAGGAUGGCACAGUGAAGUGUCCACAACAGCAAGAAAAUUAAAAGCAAUCUGUGGCAGUUGAAAAUACUGCACUUCCAUAAAGCUCAAAAUGCAGCAGGAAAGGUGGUUUCUGUCCAUCAGGUGCAGAGCUGCAGCCACCGCUGCCCCAGCAGCCCCACAAGACAGGAGCAUGCCCAGCUCCAGGGCACCCUUUGCCUUUGGAUCUCUGGCUGCAGGGAAUGCAAACUCUGCUUGUGUUAACCCUGGCGAUUUAAGAGGCUCCAGUGCCAUAAUUCCUGUCUCUGGGAUUACAGAAGGAGAACAAGCCCAACAAGAAAGACAGGAGAGUUAAGCAGCUGCAUAAUUCCACGACCAUGGAAACUGCUGUGGCUACAAUUUUUGAGCACACAAAAAGGAGGAGAGAAUCUUCUAGCAGGAUCAAAUGAAAGCCUGCAUGAACAAGAAGGCACAGGGAGAAAAUGUAUCCCACAAGCAAGAAAUAAGAUCAGAAAUUUAUAACUCCACAUACAAAUAAAUAUGAAGAAGAAGCUCAUAACUCCUGGAGGAGCAGAACGUAUUGCAAGCCACAGGAGCAUCACUGAGCCCGGCACCUGGACCAAAAGUUGCUCACAAAAUCUUUACAUGAGCUCCCAUAUUUUAUCUCCUCACCUAAAUUGCCUAUCUUGUGCAUCUCUUGUGCUAACUGAAGGCCCAAUUUGGCCAUUUGGGGCACCCACCCUAGGGAAGCCAAAGCUGAUUCCAAGUACAGCCACCAAGGGCAGUUCAGCUUUUUCUGGACUUCCAGAUUGCCUUGCUUUAAGCUGAAGGGUGAUAAGUCUUGUGUUUCCCCAAAGGGAAAGGCCAACAGCUGUGGUUACUCAAGAAUUUUCAAGAGCUGGAAAGAAAGGAACUGUUGGAGGGAGGCUUUUUUUUGGGUGGUGGAGUUGUUUGACAGAGAGAAAAGGAAAAAGGAAUGGAGCAGUCCACACCCAGGAAUUGUUCACAGGUUUGUUUUUAUUUUAAGUAAAAUAUUCUCAGAAAACUAUCUCAGAGUUCUUGUCUCUGGUUUUCACUUUCCUACUCUAUUUUCACUGGCAAUUAACUAAAUUAAUUAUCCUUAUUUAUCCUGGUAGCUGGUAUGUGGUGUCCCUGUCUGUAUGUCAACCCAUGAGCUUUUUCAUCUCACUCUCACAUCCUGUUGAGGAGGGGAACAGUGAGAGUGGUCAGCAAAGGUCCAACAGCCACAACGCUAAAACAUCCCCAAAUUUAGAAUGAGAAUUUAACAUGGACUGUUUAAGAGAGCCACAAAUUUCCUGGCUUUCCUAAUCCUUCUUGGGGUUUUUUUAAUAGGUUCUUACCUAGAAAAAAUUUUAGUUCCUCUAAUUUCUGUUUUCUUAUGUUGUAUUUUAACAACCUGUAUCAAGUUGCCUGGUUCUCAGACAAUAUAACCACAAAACAUCCCUGCUGUGCUCAACUUUUUAUUUCUGUUGUCAUUUAUUUGUGUCAUUUUCCUGGUACAGUCUGCUACAGUUUUAAAUUCACAUGUUACUAAUCUCUAUUACCUGCCGUGAUACCAGGAAUUAAAAUACACAAUAGUAGGAAUGCAUAAUAAAAAUUAAUAUUUUGGUUUUGUAUAGAAAAUUAUUUUUAAACUCAGAUUUUAUAAAGGAUGUAUUACUUAAGUGCAUUAUAAUUUCUAAUUGUGAAAGACAAAUGACUCAGCAGGUAUUAAUAAAAUAUUACUAGAGCACACACCACUCACAGAAAAAAGACCCACAAAAAACUAUGUAAGCUUGUAAAACAACCUUACUAUUUAAAAGAAUAAGAAGUUUGCAUUCUAAUACAUGACUUCUCCUGCUCAGUACAAGGAACUGCUCUGUUCCUGUGAACUGCUACUUGAAAUAAUAAUAUUUUACAGGCUGUUUUUGUGAAGAGGUUUGUAAAAACAACAAUACCUGCUGGUGAUUUAGUAAAGGCAAAGAGCUCUUAGGAAAUAAGGGUAGUAUUUUCAGCUGGAAGUUAUUAAAAAGGUGCAUUAGAGGGUAAAAAAGAAAAGUAUUAUACCUGUGGAAGUGUUGCUAAAUAACCACUUUUUAUUGUGUUCUGUGAGCUAUUAGCCUUCAGAAAGCUCAGCACAAUAACAUCUAGAGACAAUACAGUAAAGAAAAUACAGCAGUAAAGAAAUCCUUUUGUGUAUACAUCACCUCUGCAAAUACCAGCCAAGGAGCCACAAGGUCUAAAGGGAAGCUUUGUAAUUUCUCACUGCUUAAGCUGUAAAUAAUUGCUUUCUGUAUGCUGAAAUGUUUACUACAGGCAUUAAAUGUCAGCAUCUCCACUGACCUUGUAUCCUUGCUGUCAGGGUUGCACAGAGUUUUGCUGCAGGGGAAAUAAGGCAACAAACAGAAAAUCUGAUCUAGAGCAUUUUUUUUCAAGCUAUUUGUUUUCUGUGAGGUCCAAUUUAUCAAUUUUUUAGUCAAUCACACAUGUGGGCAUGCAAUUAAAGUAUAAAGAUACAGUUUAGUGGCCCUGAUGCUGUACUUGAUCAUGGCACACGCACAAAAAAAAUUGAGCAAAGCACUUUAGCAAGUGCAACUACUCAUUAAAUUGAUAGUUCCUAUCAUUUUCAAGGCACAAGCUGCACAAAAUUUAUCUCAAUCACUGAAACAGCCUAGAAAGCAUGAAACUCCACUGUCCCAGGAAAAGGCAAAUUCAUGCUUAGCCUUACUUUUAAGUUCCAAGUUCAGAAUUCUCCAGCUUGUACAUGGGCUAUAGGGAAUUUUGGGAAAAGGUGAUUCUGGGAAUAGGAAAUUCUUGGCAAAGAGAAGGUCCUGAAAAUUAUUAAACUUGUGGCUGUGAAUGUCUUUCUAUCCACCACUAUGGACAAAAGCUAGGGAACCUAAAAACUAGCAACUAGGUUAAAAUAAAUAAUUCUCAAUGAUCAUAACCUAUCUACUUCAAGGUCAGAGCAAAUGGAGUACCUAAGUCUAUUCUUGCUUCUUUCUGCUCUACAAGAAUGAACCAUCUGACACUUCCAUGUCAUUUGCAUUUCACCAAAGCACUUAUCCAUGUCCAUCAGAAUGGCACCUGCUGGUUUCUCUUUCUCUAAGUGGUAAUGAAGGAACAAAGUCCUGUAAAAAGGUGUGGGUGGGGUUUGCUCCUCACUUGUGGCACCACAGCAUCUUUAACUUAGCUGGGCUUUGAGUAAGUGUUGCCAGUUGUUGGCAGAGUAUCGUUAAUGGUUUAUAAAAUAUUCUUUUAAUUGGUGAAAUGCACCCAGAGGCCUCUUAGGGAAAAGAAGCCAGGGUGUAUUUAUAUGCAAGGAAGCCUAAAAUGGAUACUAUUGAAAAGCAGAAUGUCAGCCAAAAUAUCCCAGUCACUUAUAGCAAAGCACUUUUCAAACACUUUACUGACUCUAAACUUCCUCCCUUGAGUAGGAUAAGGAACUACAUAAAUGACAUUAUUUUUAUUUUUAUUCUGUGGGCUGAGGUUGAUAUGAUUGCUCCCUAGGUCAGCUACAUGCUCGUAGACAAUCACAUUUAAGCAUUUUAAAGAAUUAAUUCCUCCAAAGGAUCAUAGUCAAGCCAAGAUGGAUUAUUUUCAUGAAUAAUUCUUGUGAACUAUGAUAUCAAAUUCUUUACUAAGUUCAGAUAUUAAUCUAAUGCAUUCUACUGUUCUCCCCAGAAUAUGGAAAUUAGAGUCAGUGGUUCAGAAAAUUCCUCAGCAAGGCUGGAGGUCCUUGUGGCUGAAGCCAUGAAAUAUAAUAUCUUUUGCUUUGAGAAUGGAUGGAUCAAUGAAUAAAAAUGGAAUAAGUAUCCCUCAUAUUUUCAAAGGUCCUGGAGGGAUAUGAAGCCUUAUUACAGUGCAUGUGAAUGAAUUUGCUUGCACACAGUCUGCUUAGACAGAUCUGCAUCAAGGCAUAAUGUGAAUGAGAUGUGUUGGAUUUGAACAUCCCAUAAAUCAUCUGGGAUGAUGGCUAAGGCCGUUUCCUUUGGCAGUACCUUCUAAAAUGUAACUGUAGGGAUCACCUCAGUGGAAAGUCCCUGGGUUUAGAAGAAAAUCAGCUGUGAAACAUCCCCAAUCUUACACCAAGCAAGGCCAGGUUAUGCCUGAGAUAUACAUCUAAGUGGGCAGAAGUGGAAGGGCUUUUUUUUUUAAGCUCUGUGAUGUCUGAGGAGUAGAGUUGGGUUCUCUCUGCCAAUUACAAACGUUAGUUUCCCAAAAAUAAAGAGUUUGGGUAGGGAUGCAGGUGAGGGUUCUGCUCCCUGAUGGAAGCAGAACCCUGGUCAGGGUUUGCUAUCAGCAUGUUGCUACUCAAGUUUGUAGAGCCAUCAUCAGAACCAUAUUUGCAAACUGCGCCAGCAGGACCAGACUCCACUCUGCUGGAUGUUCUCUAAAAAGAGACUGAAAACCACCCUGUAGUCCACAAGGAUCAGCCAGGGAAUGCAACUAGUUCCAGAACAAACUUGAUCAGAAUUAGCUGGAAACCUGACUGCAGGGUCUCUCAACCUCUUGCCCCUCCCUC
Long non-coding RNA from Passer domesticus (house sparrow), 5246 nucleotides. RefSeq lists it as uncharacterized. The record is from RefSeq and is a predicted model, not a curated record. Lineage: Eukaryota; Metazoa; Chordata; Aves; Passeriformes; Passeridae. The transcript is spliced from 5 exons.